RNAcentral lists this ribosomal RNA (725 nucleotides) under Escherichia coli. Its description in RNAcentral is "partial 23S ribosomal RNA". It matches the Rfam family "Bacterial large subunit ribosomal RNA", at positions 419 to 1144 of the family's 2925-position model. Lineage: Bacteria; Pseudomonadati; Pseudomonadota; Gammaproteobacteria; Enterobacterales; Enterobacteriaceae. The record is from RNAcentral.
GGGACACGUGGUAUCCUGUCUGAAUAUGGGGGGACCAUCCUCCAAGGCUAAAUACUCCUGACUGACCGAUAGUGAACCAGUACCGUGAGGGAAAGGCGAAAAGAACCCCGGCGAGGGGAGUGAAAAAGAACCUGAAACCGUGUACGUACAAGCAGUGGGAGCACGCUUAGGCGUGUGACUGCGUACCUUUUGUAUAAUGGGUCAGCGACUUAUAUUCUGUAGCAAGGUUAACCGAAUAGGGGAGCCGAAGGGAAACCGAGUCUUAACUGGGCGUUAAGUUGCAGGGUAUAGACCCGAAACCCGGUGAUCUAGCCAUGGGCAGGUUGAAGGUUGGGUAACACUAACUGGAGGACCGAACCGACUAAUGUUGAAAAAUUAGCGGAUGACUUGUGGCUGGGGGUGAAAGGCCAAUCAAACCGGGAGAUAGCUGGUUCUCCCCGAAAGCUAUUUAGGUAGCGCCUCGUGAAUUCAUCUCCGGGGGUAGAGCACUGUUUCGGCAAGGGGGUCAUCCCGACUUACCAACCCGAUGCAAACUGCGAAUACCGGAGAAUGUUAUCACGGGAGACACACGGCGGGUGCUAACGUCCGUCGUGAAGAGGGAAACAACCCAGACCGCCAGCUAAGGUCCCAAAGUCAUGGUUAAGUGGGAAACGAUGUGGGAAGGCCCAGACAGCCAGGAUGUUGGCUUAGAAGCAGCCAUCAUUUAAAGAAAGCGUAAUAGCUCA